Molecule: ribosomal RNA, 408 nt
Filed under: uncultured bacterium
Lineage: Bacteria
Description: partial 16S ribosomal RNA
Rfam family: Bacterial small subunit ribosomal RNA
Source: RNAcentral
AGUGAACGCUGGCGGCGUGCCUAAUACAUGCAAGUCGAACGGAGUGGCGCACGGGUGAGUAAUAUAUAGCUAACCUGCCCCUUGCUGGAGGACACCAGUUAGAAAUGACUGCUAAUACUCCAUAGGAAGGGAUGAGACUAUAUCGUAUCAGCUAGUCGGUGGGGUAACGGCCUACCGAGGCUAUGACGCGUAACUGGUCUGAGAGGAAGAUCAGUCAGAGUGGAAGUGAGACACGGUCCAAACUCCUACGGGAGGGAGCAGUAGGGAAUAUUGCGCCAUGGGGGAAGCCCUGACGAAGCAACGCCGCGUGAAGGAUGACACGUUUCGGAGCGUAAACUCCUUUUGUUAAGGAAGCGGUACCUAACGAAUAAGCACCGGCUAACUCCGUGCCAGCAGCCGCGGUAAUAC